GUUCCUGUGGUUGAGUUUUGCAACGACGGUUUUUCAGGCCGUAGACCUUGGAGAAAAGCCAAGUAGGAACU
This 71-nucleotide transfer RNA is filed under the name Phoenicopterus ruber (American flamingo). Its description in RNAcentral is "tRNA-Glu". RNAcentral also lists the same sequence under 1 other name. Lineage: Eukaryota; Metazoa; Chordata; Aves; Phoenicopteriformes; Phoenicopteridae. The record is from RNAcentral.